GUUCCCUUCAGAGGUCUCUGCCUAGAGCCGGGGGCCAAUUGCAGCCCUUCUGAGGUCCUGGACAUCUAUCUGAUCCAUGCCUGUGAGCAGACCUGGCAUCUUGAAUCACAGGCUAUCCCUGAAGGAGCGCUUGGUUAAGUUUCCUGCUCUGCAGUGUUCCUCUUGCUGCUCCAUCUGUUCCUGCUUCCAGAGAUUUUUUUUUUAAUCUCCUCAGGAAAUUCAAUGGAACAAGGAAAACAACAACAAAAAUACAUUAUUGAGGAACGACUGGCAUACAGUAAAAUUUUUACAGGUUAAGAGUAUAUUCUGAGGAUUUGGAGCAGCUGAUAACCCAACAGAGUCAUUAAGGUCAUCUUCGGGUUCCCCAGAGUGCCUCUGUUAGAAACCCAACAAACCACUAGGAUGGGCAUGAUGCUUGAAUCUCUCACGACAACUUAAAGAUGGUGGUUUUCCUACUAUUGUAUUGUGAUGUAUCUUCAGAGCACAAAGCACUUGAAACAAGUUAAUCCGGACGCUUCCUUGGAGAAGCCUUUCAUCUGUGCGUCCACAACUGACGAUAAUGAGCUCCUGCCCGGUGCAUUGAUGGCUUUUCCUCCUUCCUGGCAGACACACUGUACACAAAAGGCAGGUGUGCUCUGAGAAGAGCAGGGGAUGAGGGAACCUCUGGCAAGCCCUGGUUCUGUCUCACUCGCCUUCUUAAACAGCUGUCUUUUCCCUUUGUUACUUUUGAUAUAGUUACUAAUUCAGAGAAAAGUGGUCAGAAUACAAGGAAUCCUGUAUAUCUCCUCAGAUUCAUCAAGUUUUCAUUUCACCCUCAGUUAUAUACAUUUUACACUCAGGGCUUGUUUUGCUUUGUUUUCAUUUCAGAACCAAAGCAAACCAAAACAACAACUAGGGGCUAGAGAAAUAGCUCAAUGAAAAUGGUGGUGUGAGGGUUAGGGGUGACUUUUGGCUCCUCAGAACAGUCGGGUGGAUGAGACAGCCUGCUUGUAAUUCCAGCCCUCAUUUUGAGGUGAAGACAGGGCACUCCGGACAAGCAGGCCAGAUUGUGAGCUGUGGGUUUAAGUGAGAGGACCCCCCGCCCCUGCUCCGUCACUAUUAAAGGUGGAGAAUAAUGGAAGAAGAUGUUGCAGGACUUUCCCUGUCCAAUUACAUUAGUGCAGAGGAGGCCUGUGAUUGGAAAGGGAAAAGGGAGGUGGAGCUAAGAGCUGCAGAGGCAGAGAGUGUCUCAAGAGAGAGGAGGAAGGGGAAUGGUGGCUGACAUGAUGAUGUCAUAAGGUUAGAAGAGCUGGGAUAAAGCUUUAUCAUUAUCAAUUGGCUCUGA
Long non-coding RNA from Apodemus sylvaticus (European woodmouse), 1324 nucleotides. RefSeq lists it as uncharacterized. The transcript has 3 exons. NCBI's taxonomy places the organism in Eukaryota, Metazoa, Chordata, Mammalia, Rodentia, Muridae. The record is from RefSeq and is a predicted model, not a curated record.